UAAAACAACAGAGAAGGAGAGGAGAGCGAGCGUGGGUUGGGGUUGGGGUUGGGGACGGAGAAGGAGAGGGAGAGGGAGAGGGCCGCUACGCGGCGGCGGCCGGAGGUGGGAGAGGGGGAAGGGGAGUGGAAGAGAGGGAGCCGCGAGGGCGUAGGCCCAGCUCGUCCACUCCGGAGCGGCGAGGGUCUAGUCGUCGCGCGGUGUGGUACCGACUACCGAACCGAGCAGGAGCGCCGACUGCGGGUCCAGGCUCCCGGGAGCCUAGACGCGACCGCGCCGACUGCCGCCGACCCAGCCUCCACAAAGUCCCGGUCCACUUGCGGAGGCGGCGGGUUCUGGGGCGGAAGAAGUGUGAAGCGCGCGGCCCUCGCCGUGAAGAAGGAGGCGGCAGAAGGUGGGCCCCUCCUCCCUCGGUUCACACGAAGAAGUGCCGGUUGCUGCGGCGAGGAGGCGCGCUCCUGUCCUAUCCCGACCCACGCGGAGCCAACCCCGUUGAGGGUAGAACUGCUCCGGUACCUCUACCUCGAAGAAGUUCCACGUGUUCUCAAGCGGCAGGUACCCGACCAAAUGUUCCCACCGUUUAUAUUGCGCGUGGCCCUCUCCUCCUCCCCCCGAAGGAUGCGACACAAAACGUAACGGAGGUGGUUGGGUACGCGAAGAAGAAGGUGAGGCCGCACCGACACGUACCGACCAAGUGUUCCUGACGGUGGCACUACCUUCUACGAGCUUCACCGGCGACGGUGGUUUCUGGUUAGGAUGGAGGAGGUUGCGAAGGAGGUGUGCACAAGACGAACGACAUGUCCACGUGUUCUCUAUGCGGCAGGUGUCCGACCGAAUGUUCCUACUGUUCGUGUUGCUCGUGGCCCUCUCCUUCUCCCCCAAGGAUACAACACAAAACGUAGCGGAGGUGGUUGGGGUACGCGAAGAAGAAGGUGAGGCCGUAUCCCGAUCCAGUUACGGGUACUGUGAACGUAGGUUGGCGUUCCAGUCAAAAAGACCAGAGGUCGUUGGUUUUUUUAACACAAAAAGAGGGAAACGUAACUCGAGAGUGUGUGAUCUAUGGUAAGACCUUAAUUCAAAAGACUAUACGUCACAUAGAUAUACGAUCGGAAGUACAUUACGACCUUUAAUCCUUUUGUUGUAUUAGAAACAGAAUUUAUUUGAUGAUGUGUUAUAUCCAAAUGUGAACAGUAAAACAUACCGUUUGUGAUGAACACCUACCCUACAGAUCAACGUAACAGAAGGAAAAGUGCGACUACUAAAAAAUUUAACAAAUAUGAAUAAAUUUAUGGUCAUAAACAACUAACUCCGUAUAGGUAGAACACCCCGUCAGUAUAUCGGUAUGUACGAAACACUAUCAACUACAACGAUUAUUUGAGAUGAAAGAUAAAACAAAUCGGUACGUUAUUAGAGAGUGACACAGACGAGUCAAUUAACUUGUUAUGGGACAAUAACGAUGUACAUGAACUAGUAUAAAACUUCUCUAAUCAAUUACCUGUGAUCCUACUGUACAAAUUCAAAGUACAACUGUUAAUUUCCGAAGACCUACUACGGAAUUGACAGAAAUAAAAACAACAUAACCCCUUGGUUUAUUUUAGUAUGGAAAAACACAAAAGACAACCGGACUACGUAACAUACACCCACAUGACACAUUUAUACUUUUCGUCUACCCCCUUUCUACCCUCAUUAUCGAAAUACUUUUUUUGACUGAAAAUCUUUAGAACCAUAACUACCUCCUUUGUAUUAUUAGUUGCAAAGAAACAAUCUUUAGCAGGUUCAUGUUUCUUUCAUCCGUCUCGGUAGUUUGAAAAAAACCUCUAAUUUCAGUGGAUAACAAACCUCCCCAACGUCUUACCGCGGAUAUGUACUCACUCGAUUGAAUUCACAAU
Molecule: ribosomal RNA, 1889 nt
Filed under: Triticum aestivum (bread wheat)
Lineage: Eukaryota; Viridiplantae; Streptophyta; Magnoliopsida; Poales; Poaceae
Description: partial small subunit ribosomal RNA
Source: RNAcentral